AGUGAACGCUGGCGGUAGGCCUAACACAUGCAAGUCGCACGGCAGCACAGGAGAGCUUGCUCUCUGGGUGGCGAGUGGCGGACGGGCGGGGAAUACAUCGGAAUCUACUCUUUCGUGGGGGAUAACGCAGGGAACCUUACGCUAAUACCGCAUACGACCUACGGGUGAAAGCAGGGGACCUGCGGGCCUUGCGCGAUUGAACGAGCCGAUGCGGGAUUAGCUAGUUGGCGGGGUAAAGGCCCACCAAGGCGACGAUCCGUAGCUGGUCUGAGAGGAUGAUCAGCCAAACUGGAACUGAGACACGGUCCAGACUCCUACGGGAGCCAGCAGUGGGGAAUAUUGGACAAUGGGCGCAAGCCUGAUCCAGCCAUACCGCGUGGGUGAAGAAGGCCUUCGGGUUGUAAAGCCCUUUUGUUGGGAAAGAAAUCCAGCUGGCUAAUACCCGGUUGGGGUGACGGUACCCAAAGAAUAAGCACCGGCUAACUUCGUGCCAGCAGCCGCCGUAA
RNAcentral lists this ribosomal RNA (506 nucleotides) under uncultured bacterium. Its description in RNAcentral is "partial 16S ribosomal RNA". It matches the Rfam family "Bacterial small subunit ribosomal RNA", at positions 29 to 523 of the family's 1533-position model. The record is from RNAcentral.